AAAUCUAAUUUUUUCGCUUACUAAUGACACAUGUAGGCUACGUUUGUGUGUGGAAAGCCCACUUUUAUUAAACAACUGUAGGAAGGCAUUCGGAAAUUUCAAGAGAUGAGUGCAUGAGCGCACACGGGGCAACAGGGGGAUGUUAAUGAGCUGUUAAGAU
Molecule: long non-coding RNA, 160 nt
Organism: Etheostoma cragini (Arkansas darter)
Lineage: Eukaryota; Metazoa; Chordata; Actinopteri; Perciformes; Percidae
Exons: 3
Source: RefSeq, a predicted model, not a curated record